Molecule: ribosomal RNA, 369 nt
Filed under: uncultured archaeon
Lineage: Archaea
Description: bacterial SSU rRNA
Rfam family: Archaeal small subunit ribosomal RNA
Source: RNAcentral
CUAAACGUCCGUAGCCGGUUUGGUACAUUCGUGGGUAAAUCAACCAGCUUAACUGGUUGAAUUCUGCGAAGACUGCCAGACUUGGGACCGGGAGAGGUGUGGGGUACUCUCAGGGUAGGGGUAAAAUCCUGUCAUCCUGAGAGGACCACCUGUUGCGAAGGCGCCACACUGGAACGGAUCCGACGGUCAGGGACGAAGCCUAGGGGCACGAACCGGAUUAGAUACCCGGGUAGUCCUAGGUGUAAACGCUGUGGACUUGGUGUUGGGGAUCCUCCGAGGGUCCUCAGUGCCGAAGCGAAGGUGUUAAGUCCACUGCCUGGGGAGUACGGUCGCAAGGCUGAAACUUAAAGGAAUUGGCGGGGGAGCACA